RNAcentral lists this long non-coding RNA (750 nucleotides) under Callithrix jacchus (white-tufted-ear marmoset). RNAcentral's name for it is "lncRNA (ENSCJAG00000061843.2)". The record is from RNAcentral. Lineage: Eukaryota; Metazoa; Chordata; Mammalia; Primates; Cebidae.
UGUUUCAUGGCUUGAUGUGGCUAGUAGAGACUGUUCCAAUCUACCAGACUUCAAGGGGGGAAACAAUCUCUUUGGCCUUUGGUUCCCUGAGGAGGGAACAAAGCUAUAAAAUGUGGUUCUCCUUCCUGGAGAGGCUGGUAGAAAAGAAAGCAGAGUUGGGCAUGGAGGAGAUGCCAUACAGAGAACCAUCUCAGUCUGGUGACCCCCACCCAGGUGAUGCUGAAGGUAUUGAGAGGCAGACACCCAGAUAGAACAAUAGAGUGGACCUAUCUGGGGGACCAACAUCCUAAGAGCUGAGAGGCUGACAGCGUUCCGGGCUGAAGGCCCCAAGCAGAUUCUCAUCCAUGUAUGUAUUUGCUCUUAAACAGGUGAGUCUUAUUAAUACACAGGUGCCCUACAUUUACUCAUAAGUCAAGAAUAUGCUAAGUAGGCAGCUGUUACCUGACUACCAUUGAUUACAAAUGAAAAGAUGUCCUCACAGAGGAGCCAUGGGGGCAGGGUAAACUAAAUGUUUCUCAACAUUCCCAUACUGCCCUCUGCUCCCCUCCCAGUGCCUUCCAUGAAUGGACUCCCAACAGAAGCCUGAAGGCAAGGGGGUCCAUGGGAUCAACCUCUUGGGGCAGAGGACAGGGGGCAAAAGACAGGUGGAGAAUGGAUCCCAGGAAAGGGUGUGGGGCACUUGAAGAACAAAUGGCUCAGAACACCACCAAUACAGAUACAGACAUCCAACAGCAUCUUUCCUCUGAUGGU